CUAGGACCUAGUGUUACUAAUCAGGAGGUACAGGGACUAGGAGCUAGUGUUACUAAUCAGGAGGUACAGGGGCUAGGAGCUAGUGUUACUAAUCAGGAGGUACAGGGGCUAGGAGCUAGUGUUACUAAUCAGGAGGUACAGGGGCUAGGAGCUAGUGUUACUAAUCAGGAGGUACAGGGACUAGGAGCUAGUGUUACUAAUCAGGAGGUACAGGGGCUAGGAGCUAGUGUUACUAAUCAGGAGGUACAGGGGCUAGGAACUAGUGUUACUAAUCAGGAGGUACAGGGACUAGGAACUAGUGUUACUAAUCAGGAGGUACAGGGGCUAGGAGCUAGUGUUACUAAUCAGGAGGUACAGGGGCUAGGAGCUAGUGUUACUAAUCAGGAGGUACAGGGGCUAGGAGCUAGUGUUACUAAUCAGGAGGUACAGGGGCUAGGAACUAGUGUUACUAAUCAGGAGGUACAGGGACUAGGAACUAGUGUUACUAAUCAGGAGGUACAGGGGCUAGGAGCUAGUGUUACUAAUCAGGAGGUACAGGGGCUAGGAGCUAGUGUUACUAAUCAGGAGGUACAGGGGCUAGGAGCUAGUGUUACUAAUCAGGAGGUACAGGGGCUAGGAACUAGUGUUACUAAUCAGGAGGUACAGGGGCUAGGAACUAGUGUUACUAAUCAGGAGGUACAGGGGCUAGGAACUAGUGUUACUAAUCAGGAGGUACAGGGGCUAGGAACUAGUGUUACUAAUCAGGAGGUACAGAGGCUAGGAACUAGUGUUACUAAUCAGGAGGUACAGGGGCUAGGAGCUAGUGUUACUAAUCAGGAGGUACAGGGGCUAGGAGCUAGUGUUACUAAGUGCACAAUGUCUGCUAAUGCCUUUUGGACUGUGUAUAGUGUGUGUGUGUUGGGGGGCUUUGUUGGAGUGAGAACAUACAGAACAACUGACACACACUCACACACCCCGUAUGAGAUGCAUGUUACACACACUUCAACACAAACACAUAUUCACAAACUACAACUGUCACUUAGAGAGUCCGGGUAAUGAUAAAUGAAACGGAUAGUCCCACUCCGGGGGGCAGUAGAUAGAGGGGGAAGGAGAGUAUAGAUAUACAGCAGUUAUACUAGAGAUCUCUGCUCCUUGUCUCUAGUACAGGUUAGUCUGUAUAGAUAUACAGUAAUUAUACUAGAGAUCUCUGCUCCUUGUCUCUAGUACAGGUUAGUCUGUAUAGAUAUACAGCAGUUAUACUAGAGAUCUGUGCUCCUUGUCUCUAGUACAGGUUAGUCUGUAUAGAUAUACAGUAAUUAUACUAGAGAUCUCUGCUCCUUGUCUCUAGUACAGGUUAGUCUGUAUAGAUAUACAGCAGUUAUACUAGAGAUCUCUGCUCCUUGUCUCUAGUACAGGUUAGUCUGUAUAGAUAUACAGCAGUUAUACUAGAGAUCUCUGCUCCUUGUCUCUAGUACAGGUUAGUCUGUAUAGAUAUACAGCAGUUAUACUAGAGAUCUCUGCUCCUUGUCUCUAGUACAGGUUAGUCUGUAUAGAUAUACAGCAGUUAUACUAGAGAUCUCUGCUCCUUGUCUCUAGUACAGGUUAGUCUGUAUAGAUAUACAGCAGUUAUACUAGAGAUCUCUGCUCCUUGUCUCUAGUACAGGUUAGUCUGUAUAGAUAUACAGCAGUUAUACUAGAGAUCUGUGCUCCUUGUCUCUAGUACAGGUUAGUCUGUAUAGAUAUACAGUAAUUAUACUAGAGAUCUCUGCUCCUUGUCUCUAGUACAGGUUAGUCUGUAUAGAUAUACAGCAGUUAUACUAGAGAUCUGUGCUCCUUGUCUCUAGUACAGGUUAGUCUGUAUAGAUAUACAGUAAUUAUACUAGAGAUCUCUGCUCCUUGUCUCUAGUACAGGUUAGUCUGUAUAGAUAUACAGCAGUUAUACUAGAGAUCUCUGCUCCUUGUCUCUAGUACAGGUUAGUCUGUAUAGAUAUACAGCAGUUAUACUAGAGAUCUGUGCUCCUUGUCUCUAGUACAGGUUAGUCUGUAUAGAUAUACAGCAGUUAUACUAGAGAUCUGUGCUCCUUGUCUCUAGUACAGGUUAGUCUGUAUAGAUAUACAGCAGUUAUACUAGAGAUCUGUGCUCCUUGUCUCUAGUACAGGUUAGUCUGUAUAGAUAUACAGCAGUUAUACUAGAGAUCUCUGCUCCUUGUCUCUAGUACAGGUUAGUC
Molecule: long non-coding RNA, 2207 nt
Organism: Oncorhynchus keta (chum salmon)
Lineage: Eukaryota; Metazoa; Chordata; Actinopteri; Salmoniformes; Salmonidae
Exons: 6
Source: RefSeq, a predicted model, not a curated record